GAUGAACGCUAGCUACAGGCUUAACACAUGCAAGUCGCGGGGCAGCAUGGGGGUUGCUUGCAAUCCCCGAUGGCGACCGGCGCACGGGUGAGUAACGCGUAUCCAACCUGCCCUUCACCACGGGAUAACCCGGCGAAAGUCGGACUAAUACCGUAUGUUGUCCAUUGACGGCAUCCGAUUUGGACGAAAGGUUUGGCGGUGAAGGAUGGGGAUGCGUCCGAUUAGCUGGACGGCGGGGUGACGGCCCACCGUGGCGACGAUCGGUAGGGGUUCUGAGAGGAAGGUCCCCCACACUGGAACUGAGACACGGUCCAGACUCCUACGGGAGGCAGCAGUGAGGAAUAUUGAUCAAUGGGCGUAAGCCUGAACCAGCCAAGUAGCGUGCAGGAGGACGGCCCUAUGGGUCGUAAACUGCUUUUAUGCGGGGAUAAAGUGGCCCACGUGUGGGUUUUUGCAGGUACCGCAUGAAUAAGGACCGGCUAAUUCCGUG
This 490-nucleotide ribosomal RNA is filed under the name uncultured bacterium. RNAcentral's name for it is "partial 16S ribosomal RNA". It matches the Rfam family "Bacterial small subunit ribosomal RNA", at positions 28 to 507 of the family's 1533-position model. The record is from RNAcentral.